GAUUAUGGCUCAGGAUGAACGCUAGCGGCAGGCCUAAUACAUGCAAGUCGAACGGGAUAGGCUCCUUCGGGGGCCUUGAGAGUGGCGCACGGGUGCGCAACGCGUAUGCAACCAACCCCCGACGGGCGGAUAGCCGGUGGAAACGCCGGAUAAUACGCCAUGGUUCCGUGGGAGGGCAUCCUCCUGUGGAUAAAGCCGAGAGGCGGUCGGGGACGGGCAUGCGUCCCAUUAGGUAGUCGGCGGGGUGACGGCCCACCGAGCCCGUGAUGGUAGGGGAUCUGAGAGGACGGUCCCCCACACUGGUACUGAGACACGGACCAGACUCCUGCGGGAGGCAGCAGUAAGGGAUAUUGGUCAAUGGUCGGAAGACUGAACCAGCCAUGCCGCGUGAGGGAAUGAGGCCCUACGGGUCGUGAACCUCUUUUAUUCGGGGACAAGGACUUCCACGAGAUGGGAGUUUGAGGGUACCGAAGGAAUAAGCGUCGGCUAACUCCGUGCCAGCCGCGGC
This 508-nucleotide ribosomal RNA is filed under the name uncultured bacterium. Its description in RNAcentral is "bacterial SSU rRNA". It matches the Rfam family "Bacterial small subunit ribosomal RNA", at positions 15 to 518 of the family's 1533-position model. The record is from RNAcentral.